Molecule: small RNA, 955 nt
Filed under: Pongo abelii (Sumatran orangutan)
Lineage: Eukaryota; Metazoa; Chordata; Mammalia; Primates; Hominidae
Description: processed transcript
Source: RNAcentral
GGCGAGGUCUCGCCUUUUGUAUUUUCACUGACUCAUAUUUCCUUUACUCAGGCUCCCACAUCAGGGCGUGAAGGAGCCCACGAGUUACCGUGGGAGCUGUGGGAGCUGCCCUGUGACUGUUAGGAAGAUGCCGUACCUUGGCUCCGAGGACGUGGUGAAGGAGGUGAAGAAGGCUCUGUGUAAUCCUCACAUUCAAGCUGAUAGGCUGCGCUACCGGAAUGUCAUCCAGCGAGUGAUUAGAUCUGGCUCUCCUGGCCAUCAAUACGCUGUGCAAAGACUGCUCAGACCCCAAUCCAAUGGUGCGAGGGCUGGCGUUACGGAGCAUGUGUAGCCUCAGGAUGCCUGGUGUGCAGGAGUAUAUACAACAGCCUAUUCUCAACGGUCUGCGGGAUAAGGCUUCAUAUGUCAGGAGAGUGGCAGUCCUUGGAUGUGCCAAGAUGCAUAAUCUUCAUGGAGACUCUGAAGUAGAUGGUGCCCUGGUAAAUGAAUUAUACAGUUUGCUGCGUGACCAGGAUCCAAUUGUAGUUGUGAACUGCUUGAGGUCUCUAGAGGAAAUUCUGAAACAGGAAGGAGGCGUUGUCAUCAAUAAGCCCAUUGCUCACCAUCUCUUAAAUCGGAUGUCAAAACUGGACCAAUGGGGCCAAGCUGAAGUAUUGAACUUUCUGCUACGCUACCAACCCCGCAGUGAGGAAGAACUAUUUGACAUUCUCAAUCUGUUGGAUAGUUUCCUCAAGAGCAGUAGCCCAGGUGUGGUGAUGGGAGCUACCAAACUUUUUCUGAUCUUGGCAAAAAAGUUUCCCCACGUACAAACUGAUGUCCUUGUGCGGGUCAAGGGACCUUUGCUAGCUGCCUGUUCUUCAGAGAGCCGUGAGCUCUGUUUUGUUGCUCUUUGUCAUGUACGCCAGAUCUUGCAUAGUUUACCAGGUCACUUUAGCAGCCACUACAAAAAGUUUUU